This 397-nucleotide ribosomal RNA is filed under the name Ebria sp. RNAcentral's name for it is "partial small subunit ribosomal RNA". It matches the Rfam family "Eukaryotic small subunit ribosomal RNA", at positions 582 to 975 of the family's 1831-position model. The record is from RNAcentral. Lineage: Eukaryota; Cercozoa; Thecofilosea; Ebriacea.
AUUCCAGCUCCAAUAGCGUAUAUUAAAGUUGUUGCAGUUAAAAAGCUCGUAGUUGGAUUUCUGGUUUGAUGCCCUGGCCCGCUGCUAUUUUGGUAGUGUGUGCCGGUUGUGCGUCUGCCAUCCUUCUAGGGAACGUUCCUUCUCUUCACUGAGCCGGGUUCGUGAUCUAGAUCGUUUACUUUGAAAAAAUUAGAGUGUUUAAAGCAGGCUUUUGCUAUGAAUACAUUAGCAUGGAAUAAUAAUCUAGGACUUCGGUCAUAUUUUGUUGGUUUCUGUAACUGAAGUAAUGAUUGAUAGGGAUAGUUGGGGGUGCUAGUAUUGAGCGGCCAGAGGUGAAAUUCUUGGAUUCGCUCAAGACUAACUUAUGCGAAAGCAUUCACCAAGGAUGUCUUCAUCG